Molecule: ribosomal RNA, 253 nt
Filed under: uncultured bacterium
Lineage: Bacteria
Description: partial 16S ribosomal RNA
Rfam family: Bacterial small subunit ribosomal RNA
Source: RNAcentral
UACAGAGGUCUCAAGCAUUGUUCGGAUUCAUUGGGCGUAAAGGGUGCGUAGGCGGCGCGGUAAGUCGGGUGUGAAAUCUCGGAGCUUAACUCCGAAACUGCAUUCGAUACUGCCGUGCUUGAGGACUGGAGAGGAGACUGGAAUUUACGGUGUAGCGGUGAAAUGCGUAGAUAUCGUAAGGAAGACCAGUGGCGAAGGCGGGUCUCUGGACAGUUCCUGACGCUGAGGCACGAAGGUCAGGGGAGCAAACGGG